Molecule: ribosomal RNA, 253 nt
Filed under: uncultured bacterium
Lineage: Bacteria
Description: partial 16S ribosomal RNA
Rfam family: Bacterial small subunit ribosomal RNA
Source: RNAcentral
UACGGAGGGUGCAAGCGUUAUCCGGAUUCACUGGGUUUAAAGGGUGUGUAGGCGGCCUGCUAAGUCGAACGUGAAAUCCCUGGGCUCAACCCAGGAACUGCGUCCGAUACUGGUUGGCUUGAAUCCGGGAGAGGGACGUGGAAUUCCAGGUGUAGCGGUGAAAUGCGUAGAUAUCUGGAGGAACACCGGUGGCGAAGGCGACGUCCUGGACCGGCAUUGACGCUGAGGCGCGAAAGCCAGGGGAGCAAACGGG